GGACUGUGCCUCAGUGGUAGAGGAUCUGCUUUGCAUGCAGGAGGUCCCUGGAGGUCCCUGGCAUCUCCA
This is a non-coding RNA of Podarcis lilfordi (Lilford's wall lizard), 69 nucleotides long. Lineage: Eukaryota; Metazoa; Chordata; Lepidosauria; Squamata; Lacertidae. The record is from the annotation of a GenBank genome assembly.